This 2679-nucleotide long non-coding RNA is filed under the name Gadus morhua (Atlantic cod). Its description in RNAcentral is "lncRNA (ENSGMOG00000030518.1)". The record is from RNAcentral. Lineage: Eukaryota; Metazoa; Chordata; Actinopteri; Gadiformes; Gadidae.
GAGGAGAGCGCUCUGUGCUCUCUGUCAGGAGGAGCUGCCACUCCAGACAGCCAGCUGGACGAGUCCACAUCGCCCGCCGACACCACCGAAGACGACCCCCUCCCGCUGAGGCCCUGGGGCCGCAGCCAAUCACUGCCGGCGUACGCUGACUUCAUCAUGAGGACCAGCAGUUCUUCCUUCAAUAACAACCUGACAGGGACCAGAGAGGAAGUGGCUGAGAGUUCUCUGGAGGCCCCAAAGACGGAGGGAGCUGAGGCCGGGCCUGAACCGACCCAGAGGAGCACGGACGCGGAGAGGAAGACUGACAACCAGAAGGAAGCGCUGACAGCCAGCGCCGACCCCGUGGACCAACUGGACUUCUACAAACCCGACCCCUUCGUUCACGGUCAGGCCGAAGAUGAUCUUUUCAAUGAAGAUUUGUUCCCAAAGACGGAUUCCUCAGACGUCUUCGCCUCAGACCCCUUCAAAGGCACCGACCCGUUCGCGGCAGACAUCUUGUUCCCGCCGGGAUCAGACGAGGCGGCGGCGGCGGCGGUUGCCAACGACGACGCCGACACCAGCCUGUCGUGCGUCGAGCACAAAGCGUCCACGGGGACCCAGUGCUUCGAGUCCGAGUUCCCGGACGAGGACAGCGACAUCGAGAUCAGCUACAGCCGCGAGGACCUGGACGCCGUCGCCAUGGCGGCGGACGCCACGGACCGGGCGGCGCCGGCCGAGCCACGGGGGUUCAAGCCCAUCCAGUCCUCCUCCGAGGACCUGGGGCUGGACGCGGCGUCCCGGGGCUGGCGGUCCCAGGGACAGUACUCGGUGGAGUCGGACCCCAACGGCUACGAGCUGGACCUGGCCGCCGUCUCCCCCCCCUCGGACAUCGAGGAGCUCAGCCUGGCCUCCCUGACCGGGGACGCGGCCGGCGGGAAGAACAGCACCGCGGCGGUCAAAGGUCUGAGUUCCGAUUCGGCUCAAUAUUCCCCUGAGCUGGCGCCCUCUGGUGCCGUACCUGACGCAAUCAAGACCGCAUCCGACAUGACUCAGCUUGUCAUCACAGAGCAGCCCCUUUCCUGUGAGGUCACUUCCUGCCUAGAAGCACAGCCCCUUGAGUCAGAAACGGACAACAGCUUCGAGGUAGAACCCCAACUAACGCUGGUUCACCACGACUCAGUCGAUGCUCCAAAUCCCUCGACGCAGAUCACUUCAGAGAUGAAUGAAUGCAGUUUCGAGAUGAGCUACCCAUCCACCCACUCCUCCUUUGACCCGUACGGGUUCAAACUGAGUCCGGAACAUUCCACUCACAGCCUUCUGGAUCCUGACGAUGAGGAAGAUCUCAGCCCAGAAUCGAAUGAUCCUGAUUUGGCCUUUGACCCAGAACCCACCUCUUCUCAGCUCAACUUUGAUCGCUAUGGGUUUGACCUCAGCGCCUCCCGGGUAGCCAGUGAGGAUGUGGUUGACCCCUAUGGCUUUAAGCUGAGCCAGGAGGAGGAGAACCAGGAAGUACUUGAGGUGUGUAGCCAUGACGACCAGGAGGAGGUGGAACUUUGUAGCUUUACCAACGAGGAGCUAGUAGAACCUUAUAGUAACCAGGAAGUUGUGGAUCCAUUCGCCCAGGACAACCAGGAAGUGCUUGAACCAUGUAACCAAAACAAUCAGGAAAUGCUGGAUUUCUGUAGCAAUGGAAAUCAGGAGAUUUUGGAACCAAGUAUGUCCGAUACCAAGAAUGUUCUGGACUUGUUCAGCAUUGAGAACCAGGAGUUGGUUGACCUGUCUAGUCCUCUUAACCAGGAAGUGCUGGAACCCUUCUGCGAUGACAACCAGGAACCGAUGGUAUCUCAUGACAAAGAUGAACAAGAACUACCACAGCAAUGUAACCAGGAAGUAGUAGAAACAAGUAUCAACAACAAGGAACCACGGGCUCCUUCCUAUUAUGAAAACCAGGAGGUUCUGGACUUCUGUGGCCAAGACAACCAGGAACUCCAAGGAUUCAGUAGAAACCAGGAACUGCAAGAUUACAGAAGCCAUGAUAACCAGGAGGUGCUGGACUUUCUAAGUAAUCAGGCUUUACCGGAGGCUAACAAUAACCACCACUGUGAGCAAGACUCAGAGAUGUACUUCAAUCCAGACACAGACACACAGUCCAACAUCUCCAACAGCGCUAACCCUGCAAACAGCUCCUCCGGUUUUCCGGCAUCAGAGGUCUCCAAUGGCCCCGAGGCCAUGCACCUGGAGGGUCUGGAGCUCGGUAACACGACUGGCAGUAUCAACAACUGCAACACUUACAAAGAUGAGCUCCUCAGCAUGUCAGUAGACCAAGAGCAAGCCACGAGUAACAUGUCCACCAACAGCGACCCUGCCACAUUUAAUGUUUCUUCGGGCCAAAAUUUGUUACAAGGCGACUUAGGGUCCGUGUUUAGUGCCGGAGGCUACAUCGGCUGUGAUGACGUAGCUGAUGACCUGGAGCCCCUUCCCCACAGACAGGGAAACCCUGUAGCAGAGCCAGUGGAACCAAUAGAACCAGUGCGGCCAGUGCAACCAGUGCGACCAGUGCGACCAAUGAGGCCUCCUCGUCCUUCGCUCUUGGCCAAGGAAAAGGCUCAGUCGCAGACUCAGGGCGUAGACCUAAAGUGACCUGACCACUGGCCUACGAGUGUCAACCACCUGACCAACACAGCUGCCGUUUAUCAUAGC